Long non-coding RNA from Homo sapiens (human), 172 nucleotides. RefSeq lists it as uncharacterized. Lineage: Eukaryota; Metazoa; Chordata; Mammalia; Primates; Hominidae. The record is from RefSeq and is a predicted model, not a curated record. The transcript has 2 exons.
GUGAUCUUCCCACUUCAGCCUCCUGAGUAGCUGGGACCACAGCUACCCUUAGCCUUCCACCAUGAGUGGAAGCAGCCUGAUGCACUCAGCAGCAGGACCAGAUGCUGGUGCCGUACUUCUUAUACAGCUUGCAGAACUGUGACCCAAAUAAACUUCUUUUCCUUAUAAAUUA